Molecule: ribosomal RNA, 251 nt
Filed under: uncultured prokaryote
Description: partial 16S ribosomal RNA
Rfam family: Bacterial small subunit ribosomal RNA
Source: RNAcentral
UUCGGAAUAAUUGGCAAUGGGCGAAAGCCUGACCAUGCGACGCCGCGUGGAGGAUGAAGGCCUUACGGUCGUAAACUUCUGUCACGGGUGCACAAAUCAUGGGGUGAUAAUACCAUCCCAUGUUGAGCUUGGCCCGAAAGGAAGUCCCCGCUAAUUACGUGCCAGCAGCGGCGGUAAUACGUAAGGGGCUAACGUUGUUCGGUGUCACUGGGCUUAAAGGGCGCGUAGGCGGUCUGGUAAGUCAGGUGUGA